This 69-nucleotide transfer RNA is filed under the name Ictidomys tridecemlineatus (thirteen-lined ground squirrel). Its description in RNAcentral is "Spermophilus tridecemlineatus (thirteen-lined ground squirrel) tRNA". It matches the Rfam family "tRNA". From Rfam's summary of the family: Transfer RNA (tRNA) molecules are approximately 80 nucleotides in length. Their secondary structure includes four short double-helical elements and three loops (D, anti-codon, and T loops). The record is from Rfam by way of RNAcentral. Lineage: Eukaryota; Metazoa; Chordata; Mammalia; Rodentia; Sciuridae.
GGGGCUGUAGCUCAGUGGUAGAGCACUUGCCUUGCAUGCGUGAGGCACUGGGUUCAAUCCUCAGCACCA